CCUACGGGGUGCAGCAGUGGGGAAUAUUGCACAAUGGGGGAAACCCUGAUGCAGCGACGCCGCGUGAGUGAAGAAGUAUUUCGGUACGUAAAGCUCUAUCAGCAGGGAAGAAAAUGACGGUACCUGACUAAGAAGCCCCGGCUAACUACGUGCCAGCAGCCGCGGUAAUACGUAGGGGGCAAGCGUUAUCCGGCUUUACUGGGUGUAAAGGGAGCGUAGACGGCAGCGCAAGUCUGGAGUGAAAUCCCAUGGCUUAACCAUGGAACUGCUUUGGAAACUGUGCAGCUAGAGUGCAGGAGAGGUAAGCGGAAUUCCUAGUGUAGCGGUGAAAUGCGUAGAUAGUAGGAGGAACACCAGUGGCGAAGGCGGCUUACUGGCGCCCGACUGACGCUGAAGCACGAAAGCGUGGGUAUCGAACAGGAUUAGAUACCCUAGUAGUC
RNAcentral lists this ribosomal RNA (440 nucleotides) under uncultured bacterium. RNAcentral describes it as "partial 16S ribosomal RNA". It matches the Rfam family "Bacterial small subunit ribosomal RNA", at positions 338 to 795 of the family's 1533-position model. The record is from RNAcentral.